Anas platyrhynchos (mallard) is the source of this 2694-nucleotide non-coding RNA. NCBI's taxonomy places the organism in Eukaryota, Metazoa, Chordata, Aves, Anseriformes, Anatidae. The record is from RefSeq and is a predicted model, not a curated record.
GCUGGAGAGCCUCCUCCUCUUCUUGUUCCAAGCUUUUCUGCUGUUGAAGAGCUACCACAUCCUAGCCCUGAUGUGGCUGCAUUCUUGUGACAAACAAACAAACUAAUAACUCCCACAAGUUGCCGUGAUGCGUCUAACCACAUCCGUGGCGCUGUGCUUCCAAGCAGAUGUUGCCAGGACUCACUGAGUCUCCAGCAGCAUUAUGAAAGCACGUCCAGAUGCAAGGGCCGAUAAGGAAUCCCCCUGUCCCCCCCUCCCAGUGCUCUGCAGGCCCCGUGGCCGAGCCUCGCCGUGCUGCCAGGCCCUGCAGAGCUCCCCAGCAGUGCUCACCUGCAAAGGCUUUCCCUGAGAAGGAGGCAGAGGCUUGGAAGGAGCGCUCGGGGAGGUUACCCACGGGGCUUGUGCAACGUGGACCUGAACAAUGAAGCUCAAUUGACUCGGCCCAGCUUGCAGUGAAGACAACAGGAGUGCUGUUGAGUUCACAUGGUGUUGCAGCGUUACGUUGCAGGGUCUGGUUCUGAUUCUCCAGUCCAACAGCAGAAACUUCCUUCGGCUUCAGCAGCAGCAGGGCUGGGCCACGCGUACGUAAGUCCCAGCAGAAGCCAGUCAGCUGGCUCUCAUUGCUGGUGAGCCCUCAGCAGCACCGAGGUAAUAAAAGCCAGAGCAAGGCUCCAGGAGUGUGGGGGCUUCUCCAGCUCCCUGUUGGGUUUGCUUUGGGGAGCGGAGCUGUGCGUGCAGGCGGCAGAGAAAAUCCCUUAAACCUCCCUCUGAGAGAGGGGAGAGGGAGGCACAGGGACCCCUCAGCUCUCCCUUGGCCCAAGGGGCAGCAUCAGGUCCAGGAACAAACCCAUGUAUUUGGGGAUACACCUCCCAGAUCUCACUAACUCCUCUGUGCGUCGCUGCGAGUGACAAGUGAUGUGGCUGGGAAGAGGGCAGCACGCUCUCCACCAAGGAAAUCAGCUUUCUAGGGAUGAGUGCAGCCUGGAGGCACCUGGGGCUGAUGCUUUCAUCCCAGAGCACAUCGCCCAGGGGCAGCACUUCCACACCGCCUCUCCCCGGCCCUGGAGGAGCUGGCUGGUGAGCAGGUUGCGCUGCUGGCCCUCUCAGAUAGGUUUUAAUAGCAGGGACGGGGGGAUUAUUUUGUUAGGACUGUACUUAAGCCCCCAAAGCUCAUUCCACAAAAGCUACCAGGAGCUGCUCUCCAGUGCUGAUGGCUUCCAAGUGCUCAUCUGGAUAAGAGCUGGCAGUGAAGCCCGUCUCCCUCUGCUGAGCCACGUCCUAUUGCAUUUUCCUCAUUUGGAGUUGUACCCAGAGCCUCUGCAGUACGAGGGAACACCGUGAAUUAGUUUCCAGCACCCUGAACUGUUAACCUCAGCUGUAGUAACCCCUCCCGGCCCUGGGAACCCAAUCUACAAAGCAAUUCCUUUCCCCAAAGUGCUUGGAGCUUCAACCGCAAUGGAGAGGAUUAAAUGCAGACACCCGUUACCACCUCACCUAUGAAAUCCGCCGUGCUGACAAGUCUGCCACCCGUCACCUGGCUCCACGGUCAAUCUUCUGUGGCUGAGAAGGUGGCUGCGAAGAGCGGGGAGCUGUGCUGUGCACGCAGCCUCCCCGAGGAGCCGCUGCUUUUCCACCUCGUUUUAUUUGCAGCCCUCUGCUGUGCCCCGUGUGCAGCUCCAUUCGGUGACUGCUGCUCCGAACAGCUGUGCCCGACCUGUGUUUCCAUUAGGAGGAUGGAGGAGCCCUCAUCUUCGUGCCUGUCCCUUUGGAGAGCUCUUUCAGCCACCACCUCCAGCGCCCUGCCACCGGUGCCGUUUCCUGGCAGUGGAGGAUAAAGGAGGUGGAUGGAGGGGCAGGAUGUCCCAGCAGGGUUAGCUGUCCUGCAGGGAGGAACUCAUGCUCAAAGGUUUAUUUUACUCCUUACUCACCUCAGCUUGCUCCUUCCAAAGCGAGGUGGCAGCUGAGGAGGACCAGGGGAGGCUGUUCUUCCCGCGUAUCCAUCCCACCCCGCAGUAUUUGUUGGUACUCUGAGAGCCCCCGAGGCCACAAGCACCAUGCACAAAUGCACCGCGUGCCCCGUGCUCUCCGAAGCAGAGGGGACGCAGGCAGAGAGGCCCAGAGCAGAGAGCCCAGAAAUGCUCCUGAAAUGAAGCAUCCCCACCCAGCCUGGGCUGCCACCGGCUCAGGAAGGAAGGUUUGAUAUCCCAUUGCCAUCGUGAGAUGAAGUGAUUCGGCUUUUCUGCUGUGUGCUCGUGUUCUCCCUUACUGCGUGACUCCAAAACUUCAUCCCGUGGAAGAGCUGACUGCUUGGGCUCUGGUGAACAAGCUUUGCAGCCUGAACAGUCACUGUUGUCUUUUUUCUCCUCUUCCUCUAAGUGCCUUUCAGUGGCUGUGUUACAACAAGAAUUGGUCUGAUCCAGAGGCCAGGAGAGGCUCAAGCUUUGCCUCGUAGCCUCCCUCUCCACGAGCCACCCGGUUGAGCAGUGCCAUGGCUUUCCUUUAUGCAGUUGCCUGGAGCCACUCUCCCAGAAGACAAUCUUUCCAAGAGCCAGCUCUGAGGCUCUUUUUCCAUGUCUGUAUAUCCCAGUGCCUCCCAGAUACAGAGACACCUCCGCCACCGCCUUGUUUUAAUUUAUCUUAGCAACUGUCCCCCUAAUCCCACUGGAGGACGGGCUGCCUGGAAUUUGCUCGUCU